GGCGAUUGGGGGAGGCUACCAUGCAGUCGAGCGGUAACAGAUCCAGCUUGGUGGAUGCUGACAAGCGGCGGACGGGUGAGUAAUGCAUAUGAAUCUGCCCGAUAGUGGGGGAUACCCUGGGGAAACCCUGGGUAAUACCGCGUACGUCCUACGGGAGAAAGGGGGGUGCGGCUCCCGCUAUCGGAUGAGCCUAUGUCGGAUUACCUAAUUGGUGAGGUGACGGGUCACCAGGGCCACGAUCCGAAGAUGGUCUGAGAGGAUGAUCAGCCACAUCGGGACUGAGCACGGCCCGAACUCCUACAGGAGGCAGCAAUGGGGAAUAUUGGACAAUGGGGGGAACCCUGAUCCAGCCAUGCCGCGUGUGUGAAUAAGGCCCUCGGCCUGUAAAGCACUUUCAGCGAGGAAGAACGCCUAACGGUUAAUACCCGCUAGGAAAGACAUCACUCCCAGAAGAAGCACCGACUAACUCCGUGCCACCAGCCGCGGUAAUACGGAGGGUGCAAGCGUUAAUCGGAAUUACUGGGCGUAAAGCGCGCGUACGUGGCUUGAUAAGCCGGUUGUGAAAACCCCGGGCUCAACCUGGGAACGGCAUCCGGAACUGUGAGCUAGAGUGCAAGAGAGGAAGGUAGAAUUCCCGGUGUAGCGGUGAAAUGCGUAGAGAUCGGGAGGAAUACCAGUGGCGAAGGCGGCCUUCUGGACUGACGCUGACACUGAGGUGCUAAAGCGUGAGUAGCAGACAAGAUUACAUACCUUUGGUACUCAAAG
This 765-nucleotide ribosomal RNA is filed under the name Halomonas sp. RNAcentral's name for it is "bacterial SSU rRNA". It matches the Rfam family "Bacterial small subunit ribosomal RNA", at positions 32 to 799 of the family's 1533-position model. The record is from RNAcentral. Lineage: Bacteria; Pseudomonadati; Pseudomonadota; Gammaproteobacteria; Oceanospirillales; Halomonadaceae.